RNAcentral lists this ribosomal RNA (799 nucleotides) under uncultured bacterium. Its description in RNAcentral is "bacterial SSU rRNA". It matches the Rfam family "Bacterial small subunit ribosomal RNA", at positions 8 to 796 of the family's 1533-position model. The record is from RNAcentral.
AGAGUUUGAUCCUGGCUCAGAACGAACGCUGGCGGCGUGGAUAAGACAUGCAAGUCGAACGCUGGUUUGCGGGUAGCAAUAUUUGCAAACUGGAGUGGCGCAAGGGUGUGUAACACGUGGGUAAUCUGCCGUGAAGUCUGGGAUAACUUGCUGAAAGGCGAGCUAAUACCGGAUGUGAACGCAAGUUCAAAGUUGGGGACCGUAAGGCCUGACGCUUCACGAUGAGCCCGCGGCCUAUCAGCUAGUUGGUGAGGUAACGGCUCACCAAGGCUAAGACGGGUAGCUGGUCUGAGAGGACGACCAGCCACACUGGAACUGAGACACGGUCCAGACACCUACGGGUGGCAGCAGUCGAGAAUUUUUCUCAAUGGGCGAAAGCCUGAAGGAGCGACGCCGCGUGGGGGAUGAAUGGCUUCGGCCCGUAAACCCCUGUCAUUUGCGAACAAAUUGUUUCACCUAACACGUGAAGCAUUGAUUGUAGCGAAAGAGGAAGGGACGGCUAACUCUGUGCCAGCAGCCGCGGUAAUACAGAGGUCCCAAGCGUUGUUCGGAUUCACUGGGCGUAAAGGGUGCGUAGGCGGCCAGGUAAGUUUGAUGUGAAAUCCCGCAGCUCAACUGCGGAACUGCAUUGAAUACUAUUUGGCUCGAGGAAUGGAGGGGAGACUGGAAUUCUCGGUGUAGCAGUGAAAUGCGUAGAUAUCGAGAGGAACACCAGUGGCGAAGGCGAGUCUCUGGACAUUUCCUGACGCUCAGGCACGAAAGCCAGGGGAGCAAACGGGAUUAGAUACCCCCGUAGUCC